GACGAACGCUGGCGGCGUGCCUAAUACAUGCAAGUAGAACGCAGGAUAUUUAGUUUACUAAUUAUUCUGAGUUGCGAACGGGUGAGUAACGCGUAGGUAACCUACCUCAUAGCGGGGGACAACUAUUGGAAACGAUAGCUAAUACCGCAUAAAAGUGAUGAUCCCAUGAUUGUCAUUUAAAAGGAACAAUUGUUCCACUAUGAGAUGGACCUGCGUUGUAUUAGCUAGUAGGUAAGGUAAUGGCUUACCUAGGCGACGAUACAUAGCCGACCUGAGAGGGUGAUCGGCCACACUGGGACUGAGACACGGCCCAGACUCCUACGGGAGGCAGCAGUAGGGAAUCUUCGGCAAUGGACGAAAGUCUGACCGAGCAACGCCGCGUGAGUGAAGAAGGUUUUCGGAUCGUAAAGCUCUGUUGUAAGAGAAGAACAUUGAUGGGAGUGGAAAAUCCAUUAAUUGACGGUACCUUACCAGAAAGGGACGGCUAACUACGUG
Molecule: ribosomal RNA, 495 nt
Filed under: uncultured organism
Description: bacterial SSU rRNA
Rfam family: Bacterial small subunit ribosomal RNA
Source: RNAcentral